UGCGGUGGUGCCACUGCCCCUGUCCACCAUGCUAUAUUAUAUAUACAAUUCCUCUAAUAUUAAUAUAUAUAUACAGAGAGCUUCCAUUGAGGGAUCCCUCAAAUAAGCUUAUUUGAGGGACACCCCUUGUAGGCCCCACUCCGGAUUGUAUUUCACUAAUCCAAACCGUCUAUUUUGUAGAUACUCAUUUAAAGAUCAUCUCUACAAAAAAUCACUUGAAUCCGAUAUCAUGUGACCACUCAAUUGAGUUAUUGAAAUUUUAGUACUUUCUUAA
This 274-nucleotide long non-coding RNA is filed under the name Prunus persica (peach). RNAcentral's name for it is "long non-coding RNA (PPER_LNC007162)". Lineage: Eukaryota; Viridiplantae; Streptophyta; Magnoliopsida; Rosales; Rosaceae. The record is from RNAcentral.